CAGGGUCAGGGUGAGGGAGAGCGAGGAGAGGGGAGAUCUAGGCGGCGUGGGCUCGCUCCUCGAGCACCGCGGUGGUGGUAGUUGUGCGAGGCCGUGGUGGGACCCGACGUGGUCUCGUAGAUCCUCGAGAGAGAAGGAGCGGAUGCAGCUGAUGGAGCGGGGCAAGCUCGAGUCACGGCGGCGUUGUGGGGCAAGCUCCAGUAGAAGUUGGAGGCCUGGACUGCGGCACACGGCAGUAAAGGCCGCGGCAGCUGGGUGGGGCUCGGGCGACGGGAAGGGAUGUCUAAGUAAUGGGGCACUGCCGACGUCUACGGCGACACUAGCUGAUACAGCUGCUUCUGGAGAGGAAGAGCCGACUCGUUGGUC
This 366-nucleotide ribosomal RNA is filed under the name Triticum aestivum (bread wheat). RNAcentral's name for it is "partial small subunit ribosomal RNA". The record is from RNAcentral. Lineage: Eukaryota; Viridiplantae; Streptophyta; Magnoliopsida; Poales; Poaceae.